UGCCAGCCGCCGCGGUAAUACGGAGGGUGCAAGCGUUGUUCGGAAUUAUUGGGCGUAAAGCGCGUGUAGGCGGCUUGGUAAGUCGGAUGUGAAAGCCCCGGGCUCAACCCGGGAACUGCAUUCGAAACUGCCUCGCUUGAGUUCGGGAGAGGGUGGUGGAAUUCCUGGUGUAGAGGUGAAAUUCGUUGAUAUCAGGAGGAACACCGGCGGCGAAGGCGGCCACCUGGCCCGAUACUGACGCUCAUGUGCGAAAGCGUGGGGAGCAAACAGGAUUAGAUA
RNAcentral lists this ribosomal RNA (279 nucleotides) under uncultured bacterium. RNAcentral describes it as "partial 16S ribosomal RNA". It matches the Rfam family "Bacterial small subunit ribosomal RNA", at positions 506 to 784 of the family's 1533-position model. The record is from RNAcentral.